UACUGCGCCGCCUAGUGACCAAAGGUGACGCGGUACGAUAAGAUGGGAAACAACUGGUAUUUUUUAUUGAGGGAUGAAUUUUAGACUCGGUGACAAAGUGAGAGACCUAAAGUGAACUUAGUCCUGCCGCAAACCAACCGAUCGCUCUUCCUUCCAGUUGCCGACGAGGGUGGUGCUUAGGCGGCUUCUCCUCCGGUCGUCUUGCGUUCCCGCCGGCGUCAGAUAUUCCGAUGUGCAUCGGCGCCCGCCGCCUGUUCGACGGAAUGCCUCCGAGCGAGAAGCGCAGCCGAACAGCCGCGUCGAGCGGCGAGGAGCAGAUUGGAUCCCUCCCGAUUCCCGAACGCGGUCCUCCGGUACGUGCUCUCCUUCCGUCUUGCAAUGAGACGUGCGUGCUCCGGUUCUCGUGUUCCCCCGGCUGCUGGUGCGACGUCUGGAAGUCGGUGCCCGUCCUGCGCGUCACAGGGAGCUGUGGCGGUGCGGCGGCGUUCAACAAGUUCGUCAGUCAUCUCCGCCUCUUGCGCGAGCGCUCACCUCUGAUGGAGUUCGAGCUCAGUUUCUUCAGGUACAAUCUUUCAGCCUAUCAAGCCCAUGUAAAAAGCAACUCUCCACGGCGGUGAGGUGGAGACUUCGCUGCAUCAAGUUGCAGAGAGUUGGAGCUGCUGCUGGCCAACGUGCCUUUCGUCAGCGCUUGACGAACUUUAGAGCUUGAGUGUUUACAGUUUUCUCUAGUUGUCUGGCAUUGGAGACUCUACCUUCUAAGUUACUAGGAUUAUUUAAACAGAAAUACUUAUUAAUAAAUUCUCAAAAUAGCUUUAUGGAAAUACUGAUAUUUAUUGGAGAAAAGAAAUGAACAGGUACUACCCAUUUAAAGGAGAAAAAUAAAAAGGCACUAUUUUCUGGCUUAGCCACCAAUAGAAAAGGGUUACAUCUGAUGGUUUAAUUUUCCAUGGACCAGUUUAUGUUGCAUUUUUUAAAAACACCUGUUUAUAUUGCGUUUAUUGUGCUUGCUGCUUGCAUAUACAACAGAAGGUGUGCCAUUUUGCAUAGUUCAAACUCUACCGCCAUGACAAAAAAACAGUCUUUUCAUCGUCAAGGAUAUUAGUAUCCACUCCAUGCAUUAUAAGAGCUACCAAGUAAGUACAAAGUUCAAAAUAAAAUAAAUAAAAAUAAAUGAUCAUCCGAUAAGCUAAAGGGACUGUUCACUUUGAUGUCAUUUUCAACCUUACCAAAUUUUGGUAAAGUUGUUAAAAAAGUGGCUACAUUUAGUUUGCUGCCAAAUUUUAGUAACUAUAUAAGAAAUCCUACUAAAAUUUUGGUAUAGUUGCCAAAAUUUUGGCAACUUGCCAAAAUUUUGGUAAUGCCAAAAUCUAGUAAGGUUUUUUUUAGCAUCAAAGUGAACAGGCCCAAAAUGUAUAUGAAUGAUUGUCUGAAACAAAUUGACCACGUAUGUAUACUCAUAUGCAAAUAUUAAACUUUUUGUAAAAAUCUUACAAACGGCACAUUGGCCUUGUUUGGAUCCUCCGGGCUAUUAAAUAGCCCUCUGGAAUCUUGCUAUUUAGGAUUAUUAAACGUAGAUUACCGACAAAACCGAUUCCAUAACCCCUAGGCUAUUUUGCGAUGUGUAUUUUCCAAAACCGAUUCCAUAAUCUAAUGAUGUAUAUUAAUCCAUGAUUAGCAGCUGAUUACUGUAGCAUUACUGUAGCAAAUCAUGGAUUAAUAUACCUCGUUAGAUUCGUCUCGCAAAAUAGCCUAGGGGUUAUGGAAUGGGUUUUGUCAGUAAUUUACGUUUAAUACUCUUAAAUAACGAGAUUCCGGACGGAUCCAAACAGGGCCAUUAAUACCUUUAUAUAUUUGCAGUUAUGGAAGACAAAGUGGCAGUUGGUGUAAAAUCUUACCAUUGCCUCCAACUGCAUUUCUUGAAGAGUAAAAGGCAUGUUAAUCUACAUGGCAGGAGCAUACAGACGUGUUACUAUAGCUCUGUCCUAAUGCAGUGACAUGAGUUCUCUUGCCAUGCCAUUUAGAGAAAAAGAAAAAGAGAAAUAAUUAUUGCAUCCAGAUCGUCCCUGGGUUACCCUGCCGUUAUUAGUGGACAAAAAGGCAGAACAAUGCCUGGCGGCGGGAUGCAGAGUGUUGCUUGGUGAUGGGAAUAGAGCAGCAUUUUGGACAUACAAUUGGUUACCGGAGGGAGGCUCAAUCCUGUCGAUGGCACCGAUCCUAUGCUCUUUUGUCAAAAAUAGGAGCCGUUCUGUGGCUGCAGCUCUCCAGGGCAAUGCUUGGGUUACUGACAUCAGGGGAGGUCUCUCAAUUCAGGCCAUCGCUGAAUAUCUCGCCAUCUGGGACUUGGUACAGGGUGUUUUCCUGGACACAUCGAGUUUGGUUGGCAGAGGCCAAUGGUGUUUUCUCAGUAAAAUCAGCCUACUCUCUUCUCUGUGCCGGCAAGACGAGGUCGGCAAUCGGGAAAAUCAUUUGGAAGUCUAGGGCGCCGACUAGAUGCAAGUUCUUCAUGUUUUUGGCGAUGCGAGGAGCUUGCUUGACCACUGACAAUCUCCAGCGACGGGGUUGGCAAAUGGCUUCGAUUUGUCAUUUAUGCUUGGCUGACGGUGAAUCCUGCUCACACAUCUUCCAUGACUGCCCCUUCACGCAGCAAGUUUGGACGCGGAUUCGUAGCCGGCUGGACCUCCCCUGUUCCACACCAUCGGAGGGUUUAAUCAAUUGGUGGUACACGGCUCGCAAAACUGUGCACAAGCAGGACCGAAAAACCUUCGACGCCGGGGUGAUCCUUGUGACGUGGCUUGUUUGGAAAGAACGCAAUGCUAGAAUCUUCGACGGAAAAGCUGCAUCGGCGGAGCAGGUUUGCGCAUCCAUCGCGGAGGAAUGGGAGUCUUGGAAGGCGGCGGGGCUUCUAUGCGCGAUCAGUGCGAGUGGCCCUCCGGUUGCUGGGAUCGGCUAGCUAGCUAGCGCGUGUGUAUGUGGUGAGCCAGUCUCCUGGUUCUGUAUGUGAGCUUUGGCUCUGUUUGUUUUCUUGCAUGUACAGUUUGCUUAAACUCUCUCUUUCUUAAUAUAUACCCCGGCCGGCUUUCGCCGGCCCA
Oryza sativa Japonica Group (Japanese rice) is the source of this 3089-nucleotide RNA transcript. RefSeq lists it as uncharacterized. The record is from RefSeq and is a predicted model, not a curated record. NCBI's taxonomy places the organism in Eukaryota, Viridiplantae, Streptophyta, Magnoliopsida, Poales, Poaceae.